This 375-nucleotide ribosomal RNA is filed under the name uncultured eukaryote. RNAcentral's name for it is "partial 18S ribosomal RNA". It matches the Rfam family "Eukaryotic small subunit ribosomal RNA", at positions 592 to 976 of the family's 1831-position model. The record is from RNAcentral.
CAAUAGCGUAUAUUUAGGUUGUUGCAGUUAAAAAGCUCGUAGUUGGAUUUCGGUUAAGAGCGACCGGUCCGCCGUUUGGUGUGCACUGGUUGGUUUUAACUUCCUGUAGAGGACGUGCUCUGGGUUUAACGACCUGGACUCGGAGUCUACGUGGUUACUUUGAAAAAAUUAGAGUGUUCAAAGCGGGCUUACGCUUGAAUAUUUCAGCAUGGAAUAACACUAUAGGACUCCUGUCCUAUUUCGUUGGUCUCGGGACGGGAGUAAUGAUUAAGAGGAACAGUUGGGGGCAUUCGUAUUUCAUUGUCAGAGGUGAAAUUCUUGGAUUUAUGAAAGACGAACUUCUGCGAAAGCAUUUGCCAAGGAUGUUUUCAUUAA